UCUCCGUUUGUGAACCAGCGGAGGGAUCAUUACCGAAGUUACCUUCAAAACCCACUGUGAACCUUACCUCUUGCCGCGUUGUCUCGGCGGGAGGCGGUGUGCGUCGCGCGCCCUAGCGGGCCGCGCCGCUCCCGUCCCCGCCGGCAGCGCCAAACUCUAAAUGCACAGCGGACUGUACGUUCUGAUUUACAAAAAAAAACAAGUUAAAACUUUCAACAACGGAUCUCUUGGUUCUG
Molecule: unclassified non-coding RNA, 236 nt
Filed under: plant metagenome
Description: partial contains small subunit ribosomal RNA, internal transcribed spacer 1, and 5.8S ribosomal RNA
Source: RNAcentral